This 447-nucleotide ribosomal RNA is filed under the name uncultured bacterium. Its description in RNAcentral is "bacterial SSU rRNA". It matches the Rfam family "Bacterial small subunit ribosomal RNA", at positions 355 to 825 of the family's 1533-position model. The record is from RNAcentral.
UCGGGAAUUUUGGGCAAUGGGCGAAAGCCUGACCCAGCAACGCCGCGUGAAGGAUGAAGUAUUUCGGUAUGUAAACUUCGAAAGAAUAGGAAGAAUAAAUGACGGUACUAUUUAUAAGGUCCGGCUAACUACGUGCCAGCAGCCGCGGUAAUACGUAGGGACCAAGCGUUGUUCGGAUUUACUGGGCGUAAAGGGCGCGUAGGCGGCUUGACAAGUCACUUGUGAAAUCUCUGGGCUUAACCCAGAACGGCCAAGUGAAACUGUCAUGCUAGAGUGCAGAAGGGGCAAUCGGAAUUCUUGGUGUAGCGGUGAAAUGCGUAGAUAUCAAGAGGAACACCUGAGGUGAAGACGGGUUGCUGGGCUGACACUGACGCCGAGGCGCGAAAGCCAGGGGAGCAAACGGGAUUAGAUACCCGAGUAGUCCCUGAGCGGGCUGGCAAGGCGCAU